ACUAGAAAUCAGAGAAUAAAGACAGACUGCUCAAGCUGUCUACGCGCUCUCUUUUUCUCUUGCAAGGCCAUUCUGCCACAAUAGUGAAAUUUCCAAUUUAUAUGAGGUAGCCAGCACACCUCAACCUCUUUAUUCAAAUGUGUGGUGUGUGGGUGGUCCCAUUGUCAUGGUGCGGAACCACCCAACACCUAUCAACAAAGAAGUAAUCUCCUGUGAGGCCUUUGAAACUAGUGUUCGAUAAAGCUUGAAGAAGGUUUAGACCAUUCAAAGACACCCCAAGAGUUGCAAGAUCUGUUGAUGAAUUGCUAGAACCAUUUGCCUUUUUAAACCCUAAAUUUGCAGUUCCACCUUUCUCCACCGCCAAGGCCAACGCCGUUGCAGCAUCAGAGGCCCAUAAUCCAAAAAUGUUAAACUCCGCAUCAAAAACAUCAGGUUGUCUUCGAAUUUCCGCUUCCAGGGAACUCGAAAAUAUUUGAGCUCUCUUGUAUUUGGAACAGAAGGCUUAACGCCCAAUACCCCUUGCAUUGUAUCAGUGACAGAAGGAUCGGGUGUACUCAACAAAUCAGCUGUCAAACAAUCAGUCAUGAUCCAAACAAAGCCUUCAGUCAUCAUCCCAAUCUCUUUUGCUUUGGCAAAAAGCCGAGUGCCAAGAGAACGAUACAUAUGCACGAUGAAAACUCUAGUUUGCAUUGUCAUCAGCUUGUAAAGCUCCUCGCCAAUUUGAUCAUCAGUGGCUGAUGGAGAAAUGACACUCCGGUAGGGGACUCGAGCUUCUACCGCUUCCAAAGCAUCAGUUAAAUAAGAACACGCCAUCAAGACAAUGACUAACAGCUAAAGGUAUAAGAAAAGGGACAACAGAAAAAAUGGAGAGGUAGAGAAGGACCUGCGGCAGCUGCUCCGACAACAUCUCUCUUGGAGUCCCUAGUGGUGAGGAUCAGCCUGGUUUUGUAGCCACCGUGAGUGGCAUAUAGAAGUCUGAGAGGGCCAUUUUAAUGCAACUCAAAGCAAUAUUGACAUCAAAACAUUCCAAGUCUAGAACCACACCAACGUUCACUCCAACAUAUGCUGUUGAGUUUUGGGCCAACCCCAUUUCUAUGAACAAUAUCUUUAAAGAAAGGAACAAGAAGAUCAGAACAUGCAUUGAAGGGUACCUUUUCUUCAUCCUCUAAUUUGUUUCCAAACAAUUUGAUAAAAAUCCUUACAAAAACUUGAAGAUGGUUGGAAAUAUGAGGGGGGUUUCUUUAAAACAUGGUAACUUAAUUUUGGAUAA
Molecule: long non-coding RNA, 1270 nt
Organism: Populus trichocarpa (black cottonwood)
Lineage: Eukaryota; Viridiplantae; Streptophyta; Magnoliopsida; Malpighiales; Salicaceae
Exons: 2
Source: RefSeq, a predicted model, not a curated record